Molecule: ribosomal RNA, 662 nt
Filed under: uncultured Bacteroidales bacterium
Lineage: Bacteria; Pseudomonadati; Bacteroidota; Bacteroidia; Bacteroidales
Description: bacterial SSU rRNA
Rfam family: Bacterial small subunit ribosomal RNA
Source: RNAcentral
AGCAUGGUCUUAGCUUGCUAAGACUGAUGGCGACCGGCGCACGGGUGAGUAACACGUAUCCAACCUGCCGUCUACUCUUGGACAGCCUUCUGAAAGGAAGAUUAAUACAAGAUGGCAUCAUGAGUCCACAUGUUCACAUGAUUAAAGGUAUUCCGGUAGACGAUGGGGAUGCGUUCCAUUAGAUAGUAGGCGGGGUAACGGCCCACCUAGUCUUCGAUGGAUAGGGGUUCUGAGAGGAAGGUCCCCCACAUUGGAACUGAGACACGGUCCAAACUCCUACGGGAGGCAGCAGUGAGGAAUAUUGGUCAAUGGGCGAGAGCCUGAACCAGCCAAGUAGCGUGAAGGAUGACUGCCCUAUGGGUUGUAAACUUCUUUUAUAAAGGAAUAAAGUCGGGUAUGCAUACCCGUUUGCAUGUACUUUAUGAAUAAGGAUCGGCUAACUCCGUGCCAGCAGCCGCGGUAAUACGGAGGAUCCGAGCGUUAUCCGGAUUUAUUGGGUUUAAGGGGAGCGUAGAUGGAUGUUUAAGUCAGUUGUGAAAGUUUGCGGCUCAACCGUAAAAUUGCAGUUGAUACUGGAUAUCUUGAGUGCAGUUGAGGCAGGCGGAAUUCGUGGUGUAGCGGUGAAAUGCUUAGAUAUCACGAAGAACUCCGAUUGCGAAGGC